RNAcentral lists this long non-coding RNA (3524 nucleotides) under Homo sapiens (human). Its description in RNAcentral is "non-protein coding lnc-CLSTN2-1:2". The record is from RNAcentral. Lineage: Eukaryota; Metazoa; Chordata; Mammalia; Primates; Hominidae.
AUUUCCUUUACUUUAUAGAUGUAUUCUAUACCUGCUAUGUAGAUAAUGCUCUAGUUUUCCCUUUAGUGCCAACUGGAAAAGGAGAGUUGGCUUUACAGGGGCUGUGGAUUAAGAGCCAGGCUUCAUUCCAUCCCAGGGAGACAAAAAGAGACAGAAGAAGUUACCUCCAGCAGCACCCCAGAAAGCUGACAGAUAUUCCCUGUAUGCAGGUAGUAAACAGAUGGGAGUCUGUGUUUGCAGCUAUGUUCAGUGUAAUUCAGCAGACCUUCACUGGGCACUUGUGAUGGGUCAGGCCCUGUGCCAGCAACAGGGGAAGGGAGGAUGAACAAGGCAUGUUUCCCUGACCAUGAGGAGCUCUUGGCCUGUGAGCUGUUGGGAUGUCCCUUUGUGGUGUUGGAAGCUGUGCACGAGCAGUCAGGACUUUGGGGACAGAAGUUUAGUGUUAGGGAGGCAGGGUAACUUGCUUUGACAGCUACCCACCCUAAGUCAGAUGACAGGUGUAAUUCUAGGGGCCCUGAUAUGCAUCACUGAGGCAGACUGAGGAGCUCUCCAGGGAAGUAGGCAAUAUUUCCCUGAAUAUUCCUCAAUUCCAAUCAAGGCUGACUCAGUUCACUUAUGGAUGAAAGCCAGUUACCCUGCCCACUGGGCAGAAAUAACAUGGUUGACAGCUGACAUUCAGAGAAAAUAAGACAGAAGCAGUCCUUAAAUAUAAACAGCAGCCAGGUGGACCUGGAAAUUUAGGAAGGGUGAUGCAGGUAGAGGGGCCAGCAGGAGCCAAGUCUCAAAAGGCACAAGCCAGACUGAUGCAAGGGAGCCCUCCUGAGGCCCAACAUCAGAGCUGAAGAUCUAAGGAGGGCCCACCUCCACGAGACCUGCUGAGGGCUUACAUUUGGUGCUGAGGAGCAGUGGUUCCCUGGGCCAGCUGCAUCACCUGGGAACAUGUGAGAAGUGCAUAUUCUUGGGCCCCACCCCAGACCUACUGAAUGAGAAGCUCUGGAGGCAGGCAGUCUGUGAUUUAAUGAGCUUUCUGACACACACUAAAGUUUGAGAACCACUGAUGCAGAGGAUGAGGAGAUGACUUGAGCUGGCAUCGGGAAGAACUGACUAUUAACUAACAAGGUAAAAUCAAUGACUAGUGCAGUGAGGGUGCCAAAGCAAACCACCCCCAGCCCCCAUCCUGGGCCUUUUUGGCUCCAGUUUAUACUCACUGAAGCAGUGGUUUCAAGGAACCUUGGUCCUAGUCCGCAUCCUUCACCUGCCCUUGGGCAUGAGACAAUUCCUGCCUGCCUGCCCCUUCUAUCCUAGAGAGAGAGACUGCCCAGGAGAGGCUGCCAUGAGGUCACUCAUCCCCAGGAAGGCCACCUGCCAGGUUUCUGUAAGCUGAGCAGCCUCUUCGAGGGCCAUAUUUUGUGGAGAAACACUGAAACUGCAGCAGUGACCCUGGUCACUAGGAGAGCUGCUUUCUACACAGCCUGUAUGCUGGUGGAGACACCCAGGGCCUGGCAGAGUGUGGAGGGGGUCAUUUAAGGACGUUGCCAGGUUGCCGCAGCACUGCUCUGUUUGUUUGUAAUGAGACUGGGGCAUGCAGCAUCACAAUUCAAACACUGAAUUGCUUGGGGAAUGGAUGGCCUUCCUUGGAAGGGCAGUAACUCAUUCUGGAUGUUACUAAAAGUAGAAAACAAAAAUCCAAAAACAAACCUACAGCCUCAUUUACAAUUAGAAUCUGUCUGGGCCUUCUGAUUUCUAAAGUCUGUGAGGCUGCCAGGAUUCACCAAUUCUCCUUUCCCCUGAGGCCCAGCAACUAUUGAUUUAUAGCUUAAACUCUGUGAAGGUCCACAGACCUUUGAAAGGAACUUGCUGGUACUUUGUCAGUCGUGUACACCUAACUGACUCCUCCUACGAGGUACAGUCUCCUCAUACAAGGGGUUUUGAGAUGGAGAGUCAGAGGGCCAGGGCCCUGGGCUUUGGGGUGGAAGGACAGAAGAGUAGCAGUCUAGGAAAGGGACUAGACAUGUAGCCUAGGAAAACUAGCACCAUCUGUUGAGUUCUGAAGAACCCAGAUUCUCUCCUGCUCACAGCCUCAGCAGUCUUUUCAGAGUCCUCCUGAAUGGCCCAAAGACACCCCUGUUUCUGGGGAACAGAAGGGAGCUGGUACCUCUGGACCAUUGAGGCAACACCUCCCCAGAGGCAGGACCCCGCCCCCAUGAGAACAUGCAGUUGAAUGAUGUGGUGCCUGGCCAGGACCUUGGAAAACGUGGCCAUGUGAGACUAGUAUAGAUCUCCAACUAUUGCUGCCUCUGCUGAUAUGGCCACCUCCUUAAGGUAAGAAGACUACCGACUUAGCUAUUGUGGCACCACGGGAGCCUAGCACUGCACCUGGCCCAUGACAUGUGUGCCACAAAUGUUGAAUUGAAUUGAAUCCCAGAGAUCACUUGACCUCAGUGAAGGGACUGGGUUUGAAGAAUUAAGACCCCCCAGUGGAGAAAGCCUCCUCCAACUUCCUUCUCGGUUUGUGAGUCAAGGUCCUUUGUAAAAUCAGAUCGACGAGGGUGGAAGUGCAGUGAACAGAGGACAACAUUUGUGAUGCACGUGGGAGAAAACAGGAGUGGGGUUGUUUGGGGACUACCCCUUCCUAGCUAUAGUCAGUAAAUGGAGCCCCUAAGCAAGGAGCAGGGGUAGAUGUGCCUGGGUGAGGCCUGCUUGCUCCACCGUCGAGGUCAUGGGCAGCAUCCCAACUGAGGAGAGAAAACCCUAAUUUGUUAAUGACCCAGCCUUGUGCUGCUCUCCAGUUCCUUUCAUCAGAUUUACUGCAGAGCAGAUUCAUCAACAUGAAGUUCAAUUCCCAGUAGACUAAUGAAAAGAGGGCAACAGACUUGAGAAGAGCCAAAAUGCAGACAGUGUGUAUUAAUCACAGACAACAGAAACGUGUUAGCUUUAAUGUCUGUUUGCUUUUAUCUUGAAAUGAAAAUGCAUCUCUGUUACCUGGACCCUUUUUACUGCACAUUUCAGAACAGAAAUGGGACACCCACACACGUAUUGAGGGUCCUUUUCCCCGGCAGGAGGAGCUACCAGAGAAAUGAGCCCACAUUUUGUGUGCAGAGAGAAUCAACCCACAGGUCUCAGCUGCAGACUCCAGCACCUCUGCAGAGAAGGCAGGCAAAGGGAUGAGGAGGUAGCAUCUCCUCUUCAGAAGGAUUCAUAAGGGCCUCUGUGAGGAGGGCCUUGCUUGUGCCUGUGGGUCAUGGAUGUUAAUAUAAAGGCUCAUCCACCCUUGGUGGCAAAAGUGCAUCCAUCCUGGCCAAUAUAGAACACUCACAUCUGGAGCCCACGCCCACCCACCUCCAGCUCCUCUACAUGGCUGCAAGAGCAUGGCUGAUGUGUGGGAUUCAGAAGAGGUCUGCUCAUGUUCACUAGCCAAACUUUAGGUGGUGUGAUACAGCAAAAAGCUUUUUUUGUUUUUCUGUUUUUGUUUUGUUUUUGGCGUGGAGGAGAAAUUUAGACUUGAAAGUCAGGGCUGAUCACUC